AUUUCCCACUUAUUUUCAACUUUUACUUAUGAAAAAAUUGUUUACGUUAAAGCCUGCUUUGUUUACUAAUAUGUAAACUUUAAGCUAAGCCAAACGCGUUUUAAUAAAUAAUAAUAUACAUAGAUUUUAAACAAACAGCGCUACCGUAAUACUACUAUUCACUCGCGUAGAAGCCUCUCAUUCCGCCGCCCGAUUUUGUGUUUACUUCGAAAUUCCCUCAGAUCUGUGUUUUUCCUUUUACAUUCAUCAACUGUGCCCCGCGGUUAUCCACAAAUAUAAUCAUCAAAUGCUUGUUUUUUCAUUGUGAAUUUUUCGACAGUUGAUAAUCAGUCGGAAUGGUGAUUUAUGGACCAUUAAUACUUGGUCAGGUGACUCAGGUCAGUGAAUAUUUCUUAACUAUAGCUAUUUCGAGCUUAUUGUAUUGUACCAUUAGAUCCUAAUUGUUUUAGGUGGAUUUUGUAGAAUUUGCCUGUUCUUAUUGCUAUAGUAAAGAACUGUGUAGGAGAGUGUAUUAUGUGCUUAAAUUGCGAGUUCCUUUUAAAGUUCCGUACUUAAAUAAUUUGAUGAGUUAAUUUUCUUUAUUUUAUGAAAGCAUAGCUUGAUGAAUUAAUUGUUUUUCCUUUUCCUUUGUGUGAAUUGCAGGUGUCAUUUUUCUUGGGAUAGUACCAAUAUGCAUUGACUGGAUAUGCUCAGAGUAUCUGGAGCAUAGGAAAAAUCCCUCAUGGAAACUGUGUCGAUCUUUGAUCAAAUUUGAACGUAAAACGUUGAAGUAAUUUAGACAAUGUGUGGAACAUUAUGUGUGAAGAUGUUUGAAGUGAUUUAUUAUGGUUUCUUAUAGAUACAUUUGCUGAAUGGUAUGAAUAUUUGGUACCACAGCUGCUCGAAUGGCUUAUCAAAUUAUUCACUGAUUUAUUAUUAUUAUUAAUAUUUUUGAGUUUAUGAGACAUAUAGUAGAUUUUGUUGAAUUAAUGAGUGUGUUCUCUGGUGUGAGUUCUGACUGAAGCCAAAAGGCUCAGAAAAAUGGUGAGGAACAUAAUGUUAAUGUAUAGUUCUAUGUGUUUUCAUCCGAUCCUUUGGAAUUUUGUUACAUCAGUAAUGUACUUCAAAUUCAGGAUUCCUUUUGUGUGUGUGUGUUAUUUAGGUACAUAAAGUAUGAUAUAUAUUGUGUUAUAAUGAUAAUAGUUUUCUGAAGGAUUGUAAAAUUCCCUGUCCAAAUCUUGUACAUUUCAGUGGCAGGAAUUCUGAUAUAAAUUUGGUCGAGUUGGGAAAGGAAACACUCAAAGAAGAUAACAGAGCUGUUCUAUCGGAAGGAGGUGCUCUCUAGUCUUCAUCUCCUAAAGUUAGGAAUUCAUCUGUAACAUCUCGCAUUAUCAGGUAAGUAACAAACAAGGUUAAAAUAAGUUGGAGUUGUACCUUACUUUUACGUUCUUGUAUAUGCUUAUCUUCUCUGGUUCCUUAAAUUGGACGAGUCUUUCCUACUUGAGAUAUUUGGCAUUAUAUUUGACAAACUGAUGCCUUCAAAUGUAAAACUGUAAAAGAUGCAGUUGUUUUUAUAAAAAUAUUAAUAGGAAGUUGUGAUAUGUAAAACUUGUGAGAUCAACACUUAAACAGGUGUGAUAUAUGAACGUUAUUAUAUUUUUGUUGUUAGACAACAAGGACAAUGUGAAAAAAAAAAAAAAAAAAAAAAAAUUCUUUGGGUAGUGCACAUUGGUAUGAUAUUUUAUCAAUUACGCUUGUUAGGUUUGAUUAAUAAAGUAGGACUAAUCAUUUAGCUGUCAUGUGAAACAGAAAGAAGCAAUAUUUAAUGUAACAACUGUAGCUUUGUUUCUAUUCCUUUCUUUUUGGUUUGCAUUAACCCUGUCUUUGAUAAUUAGAUAUUUACCCCCUUGAAUAUAACGAACUGGGUCUUAAUAUUGGUUCAUGUAGAGAAACGGAAAACUUGAGCUGUAAUUUUAGGUGCUUAACUGAAAUUCAUCAAAUCAAUAAUAAGACCACAUAUUGUGCAUGGUGUUUAAACAUGUGUUGCUGCUGUUUCUAAUUUAUGAAGUGCUACCCAUGUGAAUGUGAUGAUUGAUGUGGUCCUUGUUUCUGUACUUCCUUCUUAUCAUAGGCCCUGUUUGGGCCCGAUUUUUUCCUCCAAAAAAUUGAUUUUUUGACCGUUAUUUCACUAUUCCAGCCGUCAUAUUUGACUUCUUCUCUCACGGGUGGACCCCACUUUUCUUCUAACGGUCAAAAAAUCAAUUCUCAAAAUCACUCCCAAACAACCUCUAGAGUUUUGGCAAUUACUUCUUUCAAGAUACAUAAUGACAAGUCGCCAUUCUUUGGGAAGACGAUCAUGUAUUUAAAUAGGCAUUAAACUGAGGAGUGGAAAGAAUGGAUGCAGGCAAUUAAGUUUCCUAAAGGAUUCAUUUACCUUUUGAUUUAUGAUGGCUACUUCUCACUUUCUGCAUGUGGAGUUUUGUAUUAGUUUUUUGUGAUUAUUGUUGAAAAUUAGUUUCUUUUUCGCCUUUUUUCCUUUGCAGUCAGGGUGUCUGUGCAUGUUAAUGUUUUAGAUUUCUGAAGGCAUAUCAACUAUCAUACUUAUGUGAUGGAAGAAGACUUUGAGGGAUCCAGUAGACUUGUCAUGUAAUCUAAGUGUAAGAUGAGCACUGACAGCCUUAUACCUUUCUCUCUACUCAGUCCUUAUACUCAAUCCUUAGUCUUUUUUCAGUUUUCAGAUGUUAAUUUUAGAAACUAGGUAUUAUCGGCUACAAUGCAGUAAAUCUGGUUGCUUAUCUUGUGCCAUUGUAUCCGUUCUAACGUUCCAUUUUGAUUGACCUCAAAAAUAAUAUCGAUGACUUUGCUUCUCUUAUACAAACUUUUUCAUUCUUUCCUAGAACUUAUAUCACUGACUAUUUGGCGCCUAAAGAGACACUGAAACUAGAGCCGCUCAUAAAAAAAUUUGAAGGAAUAAGUUGCAAAACUAAUCCAGAUUAUCCAAACCUUGAAAUGAAAAGGAAAGGGCCCUUCAUUUAUACUUAAGAAGGGUCCAUAAGCUUGUGGAACAUUGUAUCUAAGGCACUUUCAGUUUGAGUAAAUUGUCUACUGAAAUGAGUUAUGACUCAGUUUUAAGAAAGCAGUUUUACAUUGACAUUUGAAGUGUGCUGUAAAAAUAUCCUUUAAUGAUUAAGUACAUUGAUAUCUUGAUUGGUCUGCAGUGGAUAUUAUUCAUCUUGUCUAUA
This 3221-nucleotide long non-coding RNA is filed under the name Olea europaea subsp. europaea. Lineage: Eukaryota; Viridiplantae; Streptophyta; Magnoliopsida; Lamiales; Oleaceae. The record is from RNAcentral.